GGAGUCUGGGCCGUGUCUCAGUCCCAAUGUGGCCGGUCGCCCUCUCAGGCCGGCUACGGAUCAUCACCUUGGUGGGCCGUUACCUCACCAACUAGCUAAUUGGACGCGGGUCCAUCCUGUACCACCGGAGUUUUUACCCCUGCACCAUGCGGUGCUGUGGUCUUAUGCGGUAUUAACAGUCGUUUCCAACUGUUAUCCCCCUGUACAGGGCAGGUUACCCACGCGUUACUCACCCGUCCGCCACUCGGAAUAUUCAAAUCCAUCCGAAAACUUCAUCGAAUAUUCCUCGUUCGACUUGCAUGUGUUAAGCACGCCGCCAGCGUUCAUC
RNAcentral lists this ribosomal RNA (328 nucleotides) under uncultured Moryella sp. Its description in RNAcentral is "partial 16S ribosomal RNA". Lineage: Bacteria; Bacillati; Bacillota; Clostridia; Lachnospirales; Lachnospiraceae. The record is from RNAcentral.